This 481-nucleotide long non-coding RNA is filed under the name Lytechinus variegatus (green sea urchin). Its description in RNAcentral is "uncharacterized LOC121421359". Lineage: Eukaryota; Metazoa; Echinodermata; Echinoidea; Temnopleuroida; Toxopneustidae. The record is from RNAcentral.
UGUGAUGAAAGUACAUCUGAAUUGAUAAAUUAGCGCACCAAAAUUAGCGCAGAAGUGAUUUAGCACUUUUUGUAUAUAUACUUUCACUAUUGCACUACCUGAUUAACAUAUUUGUAUCUAGCACUCCCUUAGUCAAUGUGUACACUUACAUAGCACCAUGACAGUGCAUUUGAUUUUUGGACAUUGGGUUGUGUGAGGGACCAGGAUUUUGCCCUUCAAAAUCACAAACAUCCUGGCUCAGAAGACAUUCAAUUUACUUGAGAAAGCAAGCAAAGAGUUUUCACGGAUUAAAGAUAUCAAUCAGAUUAAAGGAACGAAUUGGUUCGAAAGAAGGAUUAAAAGUACCAAUUGGAUUCAAAGGAUUAAAACUACCAAUUGGAUUGAUUGUAUGGAUUUGAUAUCAGAUUAAUCGAUUAAACAACGAAAUCCUGUAGAGGCCUUUGUUCGCUUGUCUUUUGUUGUCGACCUCACUACAGCCACA